Molecule: ribosomal RNA, 253 nt
Filed under: uncultured bacterium
Lineage: Bacteria
Description: partial 16S ribosomal RNA
Rfam family: Bacterial small subunit ribosomal RNA
Source: RNAcentral
UACGUAGGGGGCAAGCGUUGUCCGGAAUUACUGGGCGUAAAGCGCACGUAGGCGGAUUGUUAAGUCGGGGGUGAAAUCCCGGGGCUCAACCCCGGAACUGCCUUCGAUACUGGCGAUCUCGAGUCCGGAAGAGGUUAGUGGAAUUCCCAGUGUAGAGGUGAAAUUCGUAGAUAUUGGGAAGAACACCAGUGGCGAAGGCGGCUAACUGGUCCGGUACUGACGCUGAGGUGCGAAAGCGUGGGGAGCAAACAGG